CGCAUCCAUUCCCAGCGGCGGCUCCAUUGCCAGCGCUCUUGAAGAACAUAGUUUGUUCUUGCCCAAGUGGUUUCUUCAAGGACUAUCUUCUUACUCUUACUCCACAGUGGCGGUUGAAUUUCUAAAGGGCUUGCUUUUGACAACCCAAAACAACCCAGCAACCCCUUUUCUUUUGUAAGCUCUUCUCUCUCAAAACAACCCAGCAACCCCUUUUUUCUUUUUAGAUCCGAUGGUUUUCACCC
RNAcentral lists this long non-coding RNA (242 nucleotides) under Prunus persica (peach). Its description in RNAcentral is "long non-coding RNA (PPER_LNC005590)". Lineage: Eukaryota; Viridiplantae; Streptophyta; Magnoliopsida; Rosales; Rosaceae. The record is from RNAcentral.